AUUGAACGCUGGCGGCAGGCCUAACACAUGCAAGUCGAAUGGUAACAGGAAACAGCUUGCUGUUUCGCUGACGAGUGGCGGACGGGUGAGUAAUGUCUGGGAAACUGCCUGAUGGAGGGGGAUAACUACUGGAAACGGUAGCUAAUACCGCAUAACGUCGCAAGACCAAAGAGGGGGACCUUCGGGCCUCUUGCCAUCAGAUGUGCCCAGAUGGGAUUAGCUAGUAGGUGGGGUAACGGCUCACCUAGGCGACGAUCCCUAGCUGGUCUGAGAGGAUGACCAGCCACACUGGAACUGAGACACGGUCCAGACUCCUACGGGAGGCAGCAGUGGGGAAUAUUGCACAAAGGGCGCAAGCCUGAUGCAGCCAUGCCGCGUGUAUGAAGAAGGCCUUCGGGUUGUAAAGUACUUUCAGCGGGGAGGAAGGGAGUAAAGUUAAUACCUUUGCUAAUUGACGUUACCCGCAGAAGAAGCACCGGCUAACUCCGUG
Molecule: ribosomal RNA, 490 nt
Filed under: uncultured bacterium
Lineage: Bacteria
Description: partial 16S ribosomal RNA
Rfam family: Bacterial small subunit ribosomal RNA
Source: RNAcentral